This 497-nucleotide ribosomal RNA is filed under the name uncultured bacterium. RNAcentral describes it as "partial 16S ribosomal RNA". It matches the Rfam family "Bacterial small subunit ribosomal RNA", at positions 28 to 507 of the family's 1533-position model. The record is from RNAcentral.
GAUGAACGCUGGCGGCGUGCCUAAUACAUGCAAGUCGAGCGAACAGACGAGGAGCUUGCUCCUCUGACGUUAGCGGCGGACGGGUGAGUAAAACGGGGAUAACCUACCUAUAAGACUGGGAUAAAUUCGGGAAACCGGAGCUAAUACCGAAAAAAAUAUUGAACAGAAUGGUUAAAUAGUGAAAGACGGUUUUGAUGUCACUUAUAGAUAGAUCCGCGCUGCAUUAGCUAAUCGGUAAGGUAACGGCUUACCAAGGCAACGAUGCGUAGCCGACCUGAGAGGGUGAUAGGCCACACUGGCACUGAGACACGGUCCAGACUCCUACGGGAGGCAGCAGUAGGGAAUCCUCCGCAAUGGGCGAAAGCCUGAAGUUGCAACGCCGCGUGAGUGCUGAAGGUCUUCGGAUCGUAAAACUCUGUUAUUAGGGAAGUACAAAUGUUUAAGUAACUAUGCACGUCUUGACGGUACCUAAUCAGAAAGCCACGGCUAACUACGUG